This 7777-nucleotide long non-coding RNA is filed under the name Populus trichocarpa (black cottonwood). Its description in RNAcentral is "long non-coding RNA (PTRI_LNC001917)". Lineage: Eukaryota; Viridiplantae; Streptophyta; Magnoliopsida; Malpighiales; Salicaceae. The record is from RNAcentral.
GACCAUAAGAAACCUAAUGAACAAUCACAAGUUCAAUUUAGGAUGAUCUGCUCCCAUGGUGCAGCUGGGAUCAUCAUAGGCAAGGGAGGGUCUGUAGUCAGAGCUCUGCAAAAUCAAACUGGUGCUUCUAUCAUCUUUGCUCCUCCUAUAACCAACUCCGAUGACCGUCUAGUUACUGUUUCUGCAUUGGAGAACCUUGAAUCAUCGCACUCUCCUGCACAGAAUGCACUUCUUCUUGUCUUUGCUAGAUCUAUUGAGCAUGACAUUGAAAGAGCUCGUUCCUUGGGCUUGAUUGAGGAAAUUACCGUGACAGCGACCCUCCUGCUGCCAUCAAAUAGGGUCUCUUGUUUGAUUGGAAGAGGAGGUAGGGUAGACUCAGAAAUGAUAGAAACAACUGGUGCUGAUAUACAGAUAAUGCAAGCGGACCAAUUCUUUGAUUUCGCUUCAAAGAAUGAUGCAGUAGUGCAGGUGCAAUUCUUAUCGUCUUACUUUUUUUUUAUUUGUUGUCAAGUUAUUGUGACAUUAAAAGGAUUUUAGUAUACAACAUAAACUGGGUUGAAGUAUGUCAUUGAGUCUAAUAAUCAUUAUUUAAUGUGAUUUUUGGUGCUGCCGUGAUUUGUGCUUGUAAUCAGUUAUCUGCUCCUCUCCCUCCAAGAACAAUCAACACUUCUUCAUCACCUGUCGUUGUCAUCAUCUAGUUUGGUUAGCAAAUUUCACCUCUUCUUGUAACAUUUUCAAAGCUCUACCAGUUCUCUGCGCAUCAGUUGUAUUUGUAUUUUUUUUCCAUUUAACAUAUUAUAUAAAAUUUUGAUGUUUUUGCUGUUUGUUGUGUAGAUGUGCAAUAUUUUAAAUGUACCAAGAGUUCUGUCACUUAUCGUUUGCCUUUUGUUCUUUGAUAUUGCCUGAUGCUUUCUAAGUAGAGGAUUUUUCUUGAUCAUCCAGGAUGAAAACUGGUAUUGAACUAUAGAUAGAUACUGGAAUGUUUAUACCUUGUAAUGGAGUGUGAUCAGCCAACAUGGUAAAGUAUUUGGAGCUUCUAUUGAAGAUUUAUGUCUUUUUUUUUUUUUGAAUUCCCAGUCCUGUAUCUACCUGGUUAAAAUCUUUGGUGCCACCUACCUAGCGAUUUAUUCCCAAACUUUAAUAUGUUUUGCAGAUUACAGGUGAGGAGAAAAAUGUACAGAAUGCUCUGUUUCAAGUUACCUGUAAACUGAGGGGGAAUCUUUUGCCUACCGAGAUGCUCAAUGGAUUGAGGGCAGGGAGCCCCUAUAGAAGAGCGGGGGAGAUCACUAUGUUGCAUCAAUCAGCUGGCGAAUCUCUCGAUUCCAAUCAGGAAACAAGCUUUGGAAAAAGAGUGGAUCAAGUACGUGAUACUCCUUCCUCAUUCCUGCAGUUGCCACAGGUGAAGAUUUUCUCUUCACUUGUUUGCAGUUUUAAAUUAUCUGAAUUGAAAUUUGAAAAAAUUGGUGUUUGAAAAAAAAAAAAAGAUUACAGGGAGUAGCUCUGUGGCCAUAAAGAAAGCAGUGAUUGAUGUAACUAGCUGCCUUCAAGAUUGUCCUCCAUACGAGAAGGAUGAGGUGGAUUUAAGCCUUGGAGCUGGUAGGAGAAGAAGAAGUGGUUCCUCUGGUGAACCAAUGUGUUCCCUGCUACCCACAUAUUCUGAAAAUAUUGCAACUGAUGGAGACCAUAAGAAACCUAAUGAACAAUCACAAGUUCAAUUUAGGAUGAUCUGCUCCCAUGGUGCAGCUGGAAGAAUCAUAGGCACAGGAGGGUCUGUAGUCAGAGCUCUGCAAAAUCAAACUGGUGCUUCUAUCAUCUUUGCUCGUCCUAUAACCAACUCUGAUGACCGUCUAGUUACUGUUUCUGCAUUGGAGAACCUUGAAUCAUCGCACUCUCCUGCACAGAAUGCACUUCUUCUUGUCUUUGCUAGAUCUAUUGAGCAUGACAUUGAAAGAGCUCGUUCCUUGGGCUUGAUUGAGGAAAUUACCGUGACAGCAACCCUUCUGCUGCCAUCAAAUAAGGUCUAUUGUUUGAUUGGAAGAGGAGGUAGGGUAGAUUCAGAAAUGAUAGAAACAACUGGUGCUGAUAUACAGAUAAUGCAAGGGGAUCAAUUCUUUGAUUUGGCUUCUAAGAAUGAUGCAGUAGUGCAGGUGCAAUUCUUAUCGUCUUACUUUUUUUUAUUAGUUUUCAAGUUAUUGCGACAUUAAAAGGAUUUUAGCAUACAACAUAAACUGGGUUGAAGUAUGUCAUUGAGUCUAAUAAUCAUUGCUUAAUGUGAUUUUUGGUGCUGCCGCUAUUUGUGCUUGUAAUCAGUUAUCUGCUCCUCUCCCUCCAAGAACAAUCAACACUUCUUCAUCACCUGUCGUUGUCAUCAUCUAGUUUGGUUAGCAAAUUUCACCUCUUCUUGUAACAUUUUCAGAGCUCUACCAGUUCUCUGCGCAUCAGUUGUAUUUGGAUUUUUUUUUUCCAUUUAUCUUAUUAUAUAAAAUUUUGAUGUCUUUGCUGUUUGUUGUGUAGAUAUGCAAUAUUUUAAAUGUACCAAGAGUUCUGUCACUUAUCGGUUGCCUUUUGUUCUUUAAAAUUGCCUGAUGCUUUCAAAGUCGAGAAUUUUUCUUGAUUAUCCAGGAUAAAAACUGGUAUAGAACUAUAGAUACAUACUGGUAAAGCAUUUGGAGCUUCUAUAGAAGAUUUAUGUCUUUUUGUUUUUGAAUUCCCAUUCCCCUACCUUCUUUUUAAAAACCUUUGGUGCCACCUGCCUAGCGAUUUAUUCCCUAACUGUUACAUGUUUUGCAGAUUACUGGUGAGCACAAAAAUGUACAGAAUGCUCUGUUUCAAGUUACCUGUAAACUGAGGGAGAAUCUUUUGCCCACCAAGAUGCUCAAUGGAUUGAGGGCGGGGAGCCCCUAUAGAAGAGCGGGGGAGAGCACUAUGUUGCAUCAAUCAGCUGGAUCAGUCAGCCGGCGAAUGUCUCGAUUCCAAUCAGGAAACAGGUUUGGAAGAAAGAGUGGAUCAAGUACGUGAUCCUCCUUUACCAAACUUGCAGCAAGGGGAAGAUUUUCUCUUCCCUUGUUUGCAGUUUUAUAUGUAGUUCAGCCCAAAAGGUUUGUUGUCAUGUGGUCGUGGAAAUUGCAUAGUGGGCGGACAACAUACAGCACAGACAAUGAAAGCAGCUCAACCUCCUCUGGCAAGGUUUCAGAACUUGAAAGGGUACCGAGGGAGGUGCUUAAUCAGGCACGAGGGAGUUCUGGUGGGGGAGUGUUGGAUGGAGACCACUUGUCCUGAAUCUCCUGAUUAUGUUCCAGAAGAAAUUUUAACACACUAGGAAAUGACAUUUUAGCUGUUUAACAUAGAUAUGGUUUGUGUCACACUCCUGCGUGCUUGUCAAUUUGAAAUAGUACGCUGUAAUAUUUACCUGUUAAUAUGGAAGCAUUCUUCUUAUAGUCAGGGUGCUUUAGGUUGUGAAGAUGAUGAUUUGGAUAAAAAAUUAAGUAAGAAAAUAUGACUUAGGAUAUUUGACUCAUCGGUGAGAUGGAGAAGGAAUCGAUCUGUUGUGUGCUCAAGUGAGAGACAAAUGAAACCUUUUCCAUAUUUUGCCAUAUUUGCUUAUCUGUGGAAAUAAACUAGGGCAAAGGCCAAGAGCAUGAACUCCAUCAAAAUUAUUUAAAUGAAAUAAAAUUAUUGCUUUAAUUUCUAAUGUCAAUGAAAGACAUGGUUCAAGGCAGGGAGAUUUUGGGAUGUCUUGACUGGUAAAAUUCUUCCUUAUUUUGGGGAGAGAGAUUCUUCAGAUAUAAAACCCUUAACAUAAAUAAUUAUUUAUGUAGAAAAACCUUUACUGGACUUUUUGCAAGGUUAUCAUUUCACUUUAAUUCCAUCAGUUCUUCUUUCAAAAUAGAUUAUGAUUUUCUUGAAAAUUUACAUGUCAACUUUAGAAUCUAUGAGAUUAGUUGAGAUAAGCGCAAGUUAACCCGAACAUUCAUAUUAAUAAUAAUAAUAAAAAACAGAUUAUGUUGAAACAUAUUUAAUUUCACUUAGAAUCUUGACUUGUUUCGGUAAUUCUGUUUAAAUUUCACCUGAAACGUUAUGGUUUUAUUUUAGUUGUUCGGUUCUAGCCAAAUAGUGUAUUUUUUUUGUUUUAUUUUUUUAAAAAGGAAAUCUAUGUUUUUUCCUCUCUCUAUUUUCUUCAUUAAAUUUUGGACAACUGGAGAUGAUGACGGGAAUAGUUAUUGAUAAGGUCAGGGUGAGUUGUAUUUUUUUGCUUUAUCAAAAAGGGUUGAUUUCAGGGGAGCUAGUGUUCGGAAAGCUUUGUGAUGUUUUUAUUUCUCAUAUCUUAUUGAACUCGCUUUUUCCAUAUAUAUAUAUAUAUAUAUAUACAAUUACUGAUACGAAACAAUAAAAAGACUAGGAAAUACUGGAAUAUUAAUAGGAAGAAAAUGCCACGUGUAAGCUUAUGUAACUGCCUCGACUAACAAAGAAGACAAAGUCACACGAUGUCCUUCUUGCUCCUGCCCUUGCAAAUGAUCUUCGCAUGUGCAUGUAUAUAUGUCCUGUCUGCAAAAUGGCCAUAUCAAUUCACUGCAUUUAUUACUUACUCAAGCAAUCAUGCAUUUAUUUCAUCAAAUUAUCACGGGGUAUAAUAUUGGUAUAAACCUUCCCGGAGCAAGUUUCUUGUUUUCGUUUGUUUGUGUGGUUGUUUCUACGUUUGAAGCAACCACAACAAAAUAAAUAUUUAAUUAUAUUAGAAAUGCAAUUUAUUUUUAGUGGGGCCUAGUACAAAUCACGUUUAAAACACAGGUUCUGUCGAAGCAGCUCCAAACUGCUUUUCUUCUUCACUGUUCAGUGUUUUAGUGAAUUGUAAUGUUCACUUAAAACAAUGAACACUGUAAGUGAAAUUUAAUUCACUCAUACUGUUCGCGUAAACUGUUUUUUUUUAUAAAAAAACUAGUUUAGAGUGAAUUAAAUUAACUCGCACUGUCAUGUGAACAAAUUUUACUAGUGUAGAGUGAAUUAAAUUCACUCGCACUGUAAUAUCAAUUUUAUUCCUGAUAAUAUUUUAUCUAGUUUUAUUGCAAGCUUGCAAGCUAAAAAAAUUAUGAAAAUUGUAGUUCUUGUCGGAUGAAUUUUGUACGUAAUGGAAUUGUAGAUGGUUUAAUGAAAUAAUAAAAAAUCUUUUAUAUAAAGUAUUAUUUAUUUCAUGAUGUAAUAGUAGUAAUUAAAUCUAUAAUAUUUAAAUUUAAAACCAUUAAUAUAUAUAUAUAUAUUUUACUUAUUUUAUAACCUCAAUUUAAAAAAUAUUAUUAACUUAACACAUUAAACUACUUUUUGUUCAACCUCAAUUUUAACCACAGUUUUAACCAAAUGUAUAUAAAUAUCAAAUCAACCUCAACUAAAAGUAUUUUUUUUAAAAUAAUUUUUUUCAAAUCACAGCCACAAAAGCUACCACAAUACCAAACACAUAUAUCAGGCAUGAAUGCCACAUCAUGUACCUCAUGUAAGGUUCUCACCAGCAGCAUGCUGCUGAUUUCCUUUCUUCUUCUUUUUAUUAUUUUUUUAUUUUUGUAUUUGAGGGUUUGAUUGCAGUAAUUUUUUAAAAUAUUUUUUUACUUGGAAAUGCAUCAAAAAAAUAUUUUUUUAUUUUAAAAAAAUUAUUUUUAACAUCAGCACAUUAAAAUAAUCUAAAAGCACUAAAUAAUAUUAAUUUAAAACAAAGAAAAAAAUAAAAAAAAUUGAAUUUUUUAAAAAUAAUUUUUAAAACGCAAAAAUAAAAAAAAUAUUAAGAUUUUUUAAAAUAUAUCAAAAAUAAUUUUUUAAAAAUAAAAAAUAUUAUUUUAAUAUAUUUUUAAAUAAAAAAAUAUUUUAAAACACCACAUUUCAUGGUAUUUCCGUAACAAUGCUAAGAUAAGUUGAUAACUGGGUUUCAAUCUAUGAUGAAGCUACAGAUCCCAAGACAAGUGCAUCCACAGAUCCAGCCAAUGGUUCAUUCCCAAAAUUUCAAAUUUCAGCAGCAUUUUAAUUUAUUAUAUAUUGUUACAUUAAUAAAAUAUAUUUAACCCUGCCAUCUUGCUUUACAGGACUUAAAACUGAUAAUAUAAUUACCGUUAAAAAAAAUGAUCUCUUGAAUAUGAGUUGGAUAAUAUAUAUAUAUAUAUAUAUAUAUAUAUAUAUAUAUAUAUAUAGGACCAAUGACCCGAUAAUAAACCUGAUUACCCGGGUCGUCUCCUAGGCCCGGUUCACUCACUCGUCGCGUUGGGGUGCCCAUAAAUCUUUUAUUCACUCCAACACACACUCACACUCACACGCUCACCCUCAUUCCAUUUUUUUUCCCCACUCUCUCUUUUCCACUCUCUUCUUUCGUUUUAGUGUCUUCAUCCUCUUUUCUAGUGGAAGGAAAGGUAAAAACAGUUGGUACACUCUAAAAAAAUUCCCUCCUUUCCAUUUCUCCACUCAAUGCAGCACCACCAGAAGCAUCACCGUCACAAGCGCCCCCCACGACAGCCAUUGAUCGAGCUCCAACCGGGUCAGGUUGCAUUCCGAGUAGUCUGCCAUGCUUCGAAAAUCGGUGCUCUCAUUGGCCACUCCGGAUCCGUAAUAUCCCAAAUCCGGCUUGAAACCGGUUGCCUUGUUCACUGCGAGGAGGCCGUGAAGGGUUCGGAGCACCGGGCGAUCGUGGUGGCGGGGUCCGCAUCCCCAGAGAGGAAAAUCGCGGUGGGUGAAGAUGAGACGGUGGAAGUGUCUGCAGCGCAGGAAGCGGUGGUUAGGGUUUUGGAGAGGAUGUGGGAGGUGGAUGCGGUGAAAGAUGGCGGUGAUUGCGAGGGGUAUUGUGGACUUUUGGCCAAUACGUCGCAGAUUGGUGCCGUUGUGGGUAGAGAAGGCAGGAAUAUCAAGAGAAUGAAGAGAGCUAGUGGGGCCCAUAUCUGGAUUCUCCCGGCCCCACUUUGCGCGUUAAAGGAAGAUCAAUUAAUUCAGGUUUUUUUCUUCCUUUUUUUGGCUACAUAUUUCUCGUAUAAUAAUUCAUGAUAGAUUUUAUGUUUUUGUAGGAGAAAGUAAUACAAAUUUUGAUAUAGUUAAUAAUUUCUUAAAUCAUAGUUUAAGAAAAAUAAAAUCUUUUAUAUCAUCUGAAAUGAAAUUUGAAAAAAUUGGUGUAUGAAAAAAAAAAAAAGAUUACAGGGAGUAGCACUGUGGCUGUAAAGAAAGCUGUGAUUGCUAUAACUAGCUGCCUUCAAGAUUGUCCUCCAUAUGAGAAGGAUGAAGUGGAUUUAAGCCUUGAAGCUGUUAGGAGAAGAAGAAGUGGUUCCUCUGGUGAUCCACAUGCGGAAUUCUUCCCUCAUUUGUGUUCCCUGCUACCCACAUAUUCUGAAAAUAUUGCAACUGAUAAAGACCAUAAGAAACCUAACGAACAAUUACAAGUUCAAUUUAGGAUGAUCUGCCCCCAUGGUGCAGCUGGGAGCAUCAUAGGCAAGGGAGGGUCUGUAGUCAGAGCUCUGCAAAAUCAAACUGGUGCUUCUAUCAUCCUUGCUCCUCCUAUAACCAACUCCGACGGUCGUCUAGUUACUGUUUCUGCAUUGGAGAAUCUUGAAUCAUCCCACUCUCCUGCACAGAAUGCACUUCUUCUUGUCUUUGCUAGAUCUAUUGAGCAUGACAUUGAAAGAGCUCGUUCCUUGGGCUUGAUUGAGGAAAUUACCGUGACGGCAACCCUCCUGCUGCCAUCAAAUAGGGUCUCUUGUUUGAUUGAAAGGGGAGGUAGGAUAGAUUCAGAAAUGAUAGAAACAACCGGUGCUGAUAU